Molecule: ribosomal RNA, 549 nt
Filed under: uncultured Glomus
Lineage: Eukaryota; Fungi; Glomeromycota; Glomeromycetes; Glomerales; Glomeraceae
Description: SSU rRNA
Rfam family: Eukaryotic small subunit ribosomal RNA
Source: RNAcentral
UUGGAGGGCAAGUCUGGUGCCAGCAGCCGCGGUAAUUCCAGCUCCAAUAGCGUAUAUUAAAGUUGUUGCAGUUAAAAAGCUCGUAGUUGAANUUCGGGGUCAGUAGAUUGGUCGUGCCACUGGUAUGUACUGGUCUUACUGGCUCCUCCUUCCUGAUGAACCGUAAUGCCAUUAAUUUGGUGUUGCGGGGAGACUGGACUGUUACUUUGAAAAAAUUAGAGUGUUUAAAGCAGGCUAACGCUUGAAUACAUUAGCAUGGAAUAAUGAAAUAGGACGUUCGAUCUUAUUUUGUUGGUUUCUAGGAUUGACGUAAUGAUUAAUAGGGAUAGUUGGGGGCAUUAGUAUUCAAUUGUCAGAGGUGAAAUUCUUGGAUUUAUUGAAGACUAACUACUGCGAAAGCAUUUGCCAAGGAUGUUUUCAUUAAUCAAGAACGAAAGUUAGGGGAUCGAAGACGAUCAGAUACCGUCGUAGUCUUAACCAUAAACUAUGCCGACUAGGGAUCGGAUGAUGUUAAUUUUUUAAUGACUCAUUCGGCGCCUUACGGGAAAC